Tribolium castaneum (red flour beetle) is the source of this 1373-nucleotide RNA transcript. RefSeq lists it as uncharacterized. The transcript has 2 exons. Lineage: Eukaryota; Metazoa; Arthropoda; Insecta; Coleoptera; Tenebrionidae. The record is from RefSeq and is a predicted model, not a curated record.
UAAAUGAGUGUAAUUAGUGAUGUUUUAAUGACUUUUUAAUUACCCCCUUAAUCACCAGCGCUUUCACUUUAAUGACAUGUUAAUGACCUCUUAAUCACCAGCGCUUUUUAAUUACCCGUUGUACUUUUGAGUGAUUUUAAAGAUAUUUUAAUUGGAUUUUAGUGUAGUCUAAUUACCAGCGCUGUAAAUUAGUUUAGUGUGUGUGAGUAUAUAGCAGAAAAACAAAUUUGAAAAUUGUUAAUUUAGUUGUGUGUUACCACUUUGACGAAGCUUUCCACUAGGUCUUGUGUUUGUGAGUGUUCGUGUUUUUGUCCUGUGAAGAAGUUGUUCAUAUUUUUGGAGGGGGAAAAAAAUCUGUCCGUAUUACCCAGGUUGAUAAAUUAAAAAUGAAUCAAAGAAGAAUGCCCCGUCAAGUUCGAAAGUGUGGGAAGUCGAAUAUUGAAGUGGAGUUUAUGUCGCAAGAAACUGAAUAUCCAAACGCGUUUAAAAAUCCGAAGUUGGAUGACGAGUAUAAAUGUGAAAUUCCCUGUUCGCAAGUAAUGGUUUUGUCUCAAGAUUCACCUUCUUCUUCUUCUGAGCUUUUGAUAGAGUUACCUGAAGAUGUGGAAUUGGAGAAGGCUAUGAGCAAGUUUGCGGAUGAAAUGGACGAGAAUAUGAAGGCAGAAGAAUUGAGUAAAAUAAAAAAAUGAAAAAUAUCGACUUUUGGAUGAGACUGUGAUACCGAUAACAAAAUCAGGAAGCAAAUUUUUAAGUGUUGGUGUAAAACCAUUUGAAGAUUAUCUUCCAGUUAUUAAAAUUAGCAAUCCUCAACUGACGGCUGCUACAUCGUUUAUAAAAAGUGAAUUUGAGGAAUUUGUAAAGAAGAUGCGUGAUUAUGCAUACGUUAUAACCGAUGUCGAUAAAGAAAUUCCUAUGUGUGAACUUAAAAAUUACAGAGUGGUAUUGUGCAAGAACAAAAUCCUUGGCUUUAUUCCAAAAUUUGAAGACGUGUAUAAGCCAAGUUAUUUAAGUGUUGAAACAGUGCAAAAUGUGAUAAGCGUUAGUGAUUUUUUUUUCAAUUUACUUGAUCAGCGCAUCAUCAAGCAAUCAUAUUAUAAUAAUUACGAGCACUUCAUUGACACUGUCGCAUUAGAUAUAUUGCAAAAUGGUGGAGGUGAAGAGAAAGAAUUUGAAAAUACUGUCAAAAGACUUAUUGUUGAACGUUUCGAAUCAAGUUCUGUUUUGUACGAAAUUUUCUUUAAGUUACCUCAUUCUAUAAAAUAUCAUGUACGAAAGAGGCUAGCAUACUAUAGAGAGUUUAAUGAUUAUAAUGCUCCAUCUUUAUUAGUGUAAAUGGUUUUAAUUUAAAUAAAUGAAUAAAUAAAUAAAACUUG